GUGCCAGCCGCCGCGGUAAUACGGAGGGUGCGAGCGUUAAUCGGAACUACUGGGCGUAAAGCGCAUGCAGGUGGUUUGUUAAGUCAGGUGUGAAAGCCCGGGGCUCAACCUCGGAAUUGCAUUUGAAACUGGCAGGCUAGAGUACUGUAGAGGGGGGUAGAAUUUCAGGUGUAGCGGUGAAAUGCGUAGAGAUCUGAAGGAAUACCGGUGGCGAAGGCGGCCCCCUGGACAGAUACUGACACUCAGGUGCGAAAGCGUGGGGAGCAAACAGGAUUAGAUACCCGCGUAGUCC
RNAcentral lists this ribosomal RNA (292 nucleotides) under uncultured prokaryote. RNAcentral describes it as "partial 16S ribosomal RNA". It matches the Rfam family "Bacterial small subunit ribosomal RNA", at positions 505 to 796 of the family's 1533-position model. The record is from RNAcentral.